Molecule: long non-coding RNA, 2107 nt
Organism: Symphalangus syndactylus (siamang)
Lineage: Eukaryota; Metazoa; Chordata; Mammalia; Primates; Hylobatidae
Source: RefSeq, a predicted model, not a curated record
GCUGCGGCCCAGGAGCCUCCGCCGACAGGGCAGUACGGUUGCCGAGCCAACGCCAUCCUCCGUUCUUUCCGUCACUCACUCACUAAUCACUGUUCCUGAGUUCCUUCACUUCUCACCCGUCAUUUAUUGCGCGCCUAUUCUGUGCCAGGCACUCGGCCAAGCACUGUGAGGCCUUCAAAGAUCAUUGCUUUGUCUCUCCCAAACCCUUCCGCCCAGUCCCACACCCGGAGCUGCAACGCUCUGCCAUUAUCCCUGAUUCUUAACCGCCGCCUUUCUCCUCCUUUCCGUUCUUGCCUCACUUGGCCUCCCUGAGACACUUGAUUUGCCCCAACCUUCUUCCUCUGUCUUGGUUCUCCCACUCUCAUCAGCUCUGCAUCCUCUGGGUCCUCUCCCACUUCUCCCCAUUCCGUUGGGGCUAGUUGAAUCUGGUGCCAUCCUCCUUGCACCUGCGUCUCUCUCUCUCUCAGCAAACGUCAUCCCUAACUCUUCCCUUCUCCUUCCCUUUCCCACACGCCAACAAUGGCUGAAUCCUCUGAUUUGACCUCAUUGUCUCUCAGACAACUCACCCUCUCUCCCUUCUCACUACCCCUCCCUCGGCUCAGUUCCACACCAUUUGUAAUGGCCAAGGCCUUCUUACCCUUUCCCCAGCGUCCAGUGUGGCCAGUUUCCAGGCCAUCCUGUGCUGGGCCACGACAGUCAACUUGUGAUACUAAGUUGCAUUACUGGAAGUAUCAUGUCAAAGUUUGGGUGUUCCAUCUUGGGCAACUGGCAAAGAGGAGAGUAUUAAAAAAAAAAGAGCUGCCAUUGUGUUCGGAAUUGGUGGGUUCUUGGUCUCACUGACUUCAAGAAUGAAGCCACGGACCCUCGCGAGUCCUGCCUGCGCCUCUGAGCUUAAUCUCUGUUCUGGUAAGAUGUCAAGAUUCUGGCCUCCUCCACCAAGAAGGGGAUCAGGGCUUCAGCCACAGAGCUUCACCACCAAAUGUUAAGACAUCACCUCCCAUUGAAGACUCUCUCUGUUGAUCUCCCUUUUGAGCUUCAGUUCCUGCCAGAAAAAGGGCUGCAGCCUUCAGAUGCAGAUUUGGGAAGCUUCUGAAGUCUUUAGGCUUCUUUAUCUCAUUAGCCAGGGAUCCUUUAAAACUUAGGGAGUCCUAUACAGGUAACAAUCUUAGAGGGAUUGUGGAAGAGGCCUCAUGUCCCCUUAAACCUUCCACCACCCAGAAUUCUUCUUCAGUCCUCCUAAAUGUCUCACUUUGACCCCUUGUUAGCUGAAUUCUGAUUUUUGUACAGUCACUUGAUGCUGCCCGUGGCCUCCUUCACUUUCAGGUGCCUGACUCCUUGCUGGACUGAUGGCCCUGCUAAAUUUGGGCAGUCAGAUGUUGCCCUUGCUGGGUCUGUGACAUCUAUUUCACCUUGAAAGCCAGGACUCCUGAAAAUCCCAUCAGCACUGAGCAGUGGGAAGCUCCAUCUGUCCCUGCCACCUGCUGCUGGGGAUGGCUAGACGCCUGCCCACGUUGAGAUUUUCUCUGCACUCAGUUUUUCAGACUGAACCUUUCUCCUUCUGACAGAAGCUUCCAGGAGCAUGUGGUGGCUCCUGAAGGUCUCACAGAUCAAUUUAAAAAAGCAAGCUUUUUCUUCCCCUGGAGAAACAGCAAGAUUGGUGACUCGUCUGUCACUGCUAAUUAGCAGAAAGGGUCUGAACACUGGGGAACACGGAGAGAGAAGAUGAUUGGAAUUAACCAGACACCAGGGUUGAAAAAAAAAAUCCAUAAUGUGGUGGUGCUCAGAGAACAGAAAGAAAAUAAAGUUAAUCAGCAGCAGUGGUCUGCUGUAGAGUCUUGAGGAGAGCCACUGCAGAGUGCCUUGGGUUGCCCGUGGAGAUACGAAGAAGCAGCAGCGUGUAGCCAAGGCACCAAACAGAAACCCCAUCUUGGAAGAGGCUGGUGACCAGGAAUUAAGCAAGGAAUGCAUUCAUUUAAGCUUACAGGGUUCUAUCCAAGAUCAGUUCUCUUCUCUGAGAUUGAUGUAGACCCUUCCAACCAGAAGUUGGAAACUGGCAGCAUGUAUUUUCUUUGGAGAGCACAAUUUUAAAAAUUUACUUGAACUGGAA